Sphaerodactylus townsendi is the source of this 126-nucleotide long non-coding RNA. RefSeq lists it as uncharacterized. NCBI's taxonomy places the organism in Eukaryota, Metazoa, Chordata, Lepidosauria, Squamata, Sphaerodactylidae. The record is from RefSeq and is a predicted model, not a curated record. The transcript has 4 exons.
UGAGAUCCUGCUGGAUCCCACCUCUGAACGAGAUCCACCAGACCACGGCCACACAGCCCGGAAAACCCACCAGAACCACUUCCUCCCUCUUUUUCUGCAAUGCCAUUUUGAGCCCAUUUGGGUCUC